RNAcentral lists this ribosomal RNA (370 nucleotides) under uncultured organism. RNAcentral describes it as "bacterial SSU rRNA". It matches the Rfam family "Bacterial small subunit ribosomal RNA", at positions 526 to 896 of the family's 1533-position model. The record is from RNAcentral.
CGUAGGGUGCAAGCGUUAAUCGGAAUUACUGGGCGUAAAGCGUGCGCAGGCGGUUUUGUAAGUCUGUCGUGAAAUCCCCGGGCUCAACCUGGGAAUUGCGAUGGAGACUGCAAGGCUAGAAUCUGGCAGAGGGGGGUAGAAUUCCACGUGUAGCAGUGAAAUGCGUAGAGAUGUGGAGGAACACCGAUGGCGAAGGCAGCCCCCUGGGUCAAGAUUGACGCUCAUGCACGAAAGCGUGGGGAGCAAACAGGAUUAGAUACCCUGGUAGUCCACGCCCUAAACGAUGUCUACUGGUUGUCGGGUUUUAAUUAACUUGGUAACGCAGCUAACGCGUGAAGUAGACCGCCUGGGGAGUACGGUCGCAAGAUUA